This 377-nucleotide ribosomal RNA is filed under the name uncultured bacterium. Its description in RNAcentral is "bacterial SSU rRNA". It matches the Rfam family "Bacterial small subunit ribosomal RNA", at positions 523 to 898 of the family's 1533-position model. The record is from RNAcentral.
AGACGUAGGGGGCGAGCGUUGUCCGGAAUUACUGGGCGUAAAGAGCACGUAGGCGGAUGUAUAAGUCAGGUGUGAAAGACCGCAGCCUAACUGCGGGGUUGCACUUGAAACUGUAUAUCUUGAGGGCAGGAGAGGUUAGUAGAAUUCCUGGUGUAGCGGUGAAAUGCGUAGAAAUCAGGAGGAAUACCAGUGGCGAAGGCGACUGACUGGACUGACCCUGACGCUGAGGUGCGAAAGCGUGGGUAGCAAACAGGAUUAGAUACCCUGGUAGUCCACGCCGUAAACGAUGGAUACUAGGUGUGGGAGGUAUCGACCCCUUCCGUGCCGGAGCAAACGCAAUAAGUAUCCCGCCUGGGGAGUACGGUCGCAAGGCUGAA